This 576-nucleotide ribosomal RNA is filed under the name uncultured bacterium. RNAcentral's name for it is "bacterial SSU rRNA". It matches the Rfam family "Bacterial small subunit ribosomal RNA", at positions 900 to 1479 of the family's 1533-position model. The record is from RNAcentral.
CUCAAAGGAAUUGACGGGGGCCCGCACAAGCAGUGGAGUAUGUGGUUUAAUUCGAAGCAACGCGAAGAACCUUACCAGGGCUUGACGUAUAGAGGAAUAUUUAAGAGAUUAAAUAGUUCUUCGGAACCUCUAUACAGGUGGUGCAUGGUUGUCGUCAGCUCGUGUCGUGAGAUGUUGGGUUAAGUCCCGCAACGAGCGCAACCCCUGUUGUUAGUUGCCAGCAUGUAAAGAUGGGAACUCUAAGAAGACUGCCGGUGAUAAAUCGGAGGAAGGUGGGGACGACGUCAAAUCAUCAUGCCCUAUAUGUCCUGGGCUACACACGUACUACAAUGGCUGUAACAGAGGGAGGCAACACAGUGAUGUGAAGCGAAACCCAGAAAGCAGUCUCAGUUCGGAUUGAAGGCUGAAAUUCGCCUUCAUGAAGCCGGAAUUGCUAGUAAUGGCAGGUCAGCAUACUGCCGUGAAUACGUUCCCGGGCCUUGUACACACCGCCCGUCACACCAUGAGAGUUGGGGAUACCCGAAGCCUGUGAGCUAACGAAAGGAGCAGCAGUCGAAGGUAGAAUCAAUGAUUGGG